AUUUAGGCUUGCUCCAGCUUUCCCCAGUCAGGUGUGAGGGGGAGAGCUGGAGACAAAGGAGCUACAGAUCUGAAAAGAUCCAGUGAGUUUGGAGCCCUGAAGCUGCCAUGCUCUCAACUGUUAAUGGAAUUGGUGAGUAGUGGACACAAUGUUGUUUUGUUGUUUUAGCAUGUUGGUGGUAGCCAAUGCUAAUUGUUGUAUGAUCUAACGUCUUAAAUUCAACAUAUUUAAGAAAAUGAGAUAAAUAUUACUUUAUUUGGUCUGACAGAUUAGAUCUAUUGCAUUUAUCUAUGAGUAUAACUGAAAAGAAAGUCUAGUUAACUAGCAGGCUGGAAAUUUACUGGUCCUGUUUAUUUUAAUACAGGCCAGGUGAUCCCCUUUUUUAGGGUAAAAGAUGGCGAGCUUCUGAAAACUGGCUGGAGCCAGGAGAGCCCUAAGAAUCACUUCAUCCUGGUCUGAAUCAGUUCCCCCUCCAUCUCACCACUCAGGCACACACUCCAUUAUUCAUCUCUUUAUCUGAAAGAACUUGCGCUGGGACAUUGUCAACUUAAAUAUCUGGAUAAUCCAACCAUGGACUUCUGAAUGUGCGUCGGUCAGACUUUGGACUGACCAGCGGGGAAGUUGAGACCAGUUGUGCACAAAUCAAUGAAGGAUUGCCGCAGUACUGUGUAUAUAUUUUUUUGUAUUUAUUUUGGGUUCUAAGUAUGUCUUGUAUUGUUCACUUUAAUUUUUUUCUUCAAAAUACAUA
Non-coding RNA from Poecilia reticulata (guppy), 748 nucleotides. NCBI's taxonomy places the organism in Eukaryota, Metazoa, Chordata, Actinopteri, Cyprinodontiformes, Poeciliidae. The record is from RefSeq and is a predicted model, not a curated record.